UACGUAGGGACCAAGCGUUGUUCGGAUUUACUGGGCGUAAAGGGCGCGUAGGCGGCGCGGUAAGUCACUUGUGAAAUCUCUGAGCUUAACUCAGAACGGCCAAGUGAUACUGCAGUGCUAGAGUGUGGAAGGGGCAAUCGGAAUUCUUGGUGUAGCGGUGAAAUGCGUAGAUAUCGGGAGGAACACCAGUGGCGAAGGCGGCGAUCUGGGAAGAUACUGACGCUGAGGUGCGAAAGCGUGGGGAGCAAACAGG
RNAcentral lists this ribosomal RNA (253 nucleotides) under uncultured bacterium. RNAcentral's name for it is "partial 16S ribosomal RNA". It matches the Rfam family "Bacterial small subunit ribosomal RNA", at positions 524 to 776 of the family's 1533-position model. The record is from RNAcentral.